UCGAAUAGUUCAUGUAAAAUGCUGAACUCCGCAUUCUCUCUGCCGUCGGACAGGCCCACAUGAAUAACACAACAGCUACAACGACUGCACCGGACACAAAGGCUGGGGAGAAUAGGCAUAUAAAAGCGACAUCAAGCAAGUUAGCUUCUCGGCUUUCUAUUAUGUUACUGUAACGUGUGGUACGCGCAGCCGCUGACUGUUGGUGGAAAAAAAAUGAAUAUGCAAACAUCCUCCAAGAAGGUUCACCGCACAAUAAUAAGCAUCAACACAAAGCCGAUCGCCUAGCUAUAGCAGCCAAGCUAACCACCGUAUCAAGCUAGCACAGCUACAGUAUUUGAGCAAUAUCUGAAUAUGGCAUGUAUAAAAACAACAGUCACGUCGCCGAUUACUAAUAAAAUAUGCUAAAUCGUAUUUUUAGACAGUGGUAUGAAUAUGUAGCGGGGUUCAGCGGUCUAAUCACAAAGCACCCUGGGUUGACGCAGGACAAGACUAGUGAGCUUCAGCGGGACCUCUUGAAGGGCGAGCAGGACAUACAGCAGGAGUGGGAUGGGAGUUCACAGAAGAUUGGACACUGAUGAGCUGAGCUGGUGAUCCCCCCUCUCUGCACCUGGGGGCAUCGAUUGCAUCAACAGGGCAGAGAUCCCAUCAGCCUGAGUAAGGAGGAGGAUAUGGUCAGUGGGAGAGGUACUGGGUGAUAAGGGGUUUCCCUAGCCAUGUGUGUCAAAAUAUAUUAGAUGGGAAUUAUUGUGACGAAACUACGUCAUUGUAAGUCAAACACUUGUGCAACUAGAGAGAUAACACAUUCACUAUGUUUACCUAAUGAACUGCUUUGUGUAGAGGGUUGAAGGCUUACUUGUCAGUGGCGUUCAGACGGGCAUUGAACUUGAUCAGGAGGUCCACAAUAUGCGUGUGCUGUAGAGGACAGACGUGACAGAGGAAAGAAGAGACAGGAGAGGAGUGACAGAGGAGCGAGAGAGACCCGAGGACAUAAGUGAUGACAUCCACGCUAAUACAUAUGAAGACUUUCCACUAGCUCUCUUUCAUCACAGUAUGGGUGAUGCCAUUUUUUGUGAUGGAUGGUUUUCUGGAAGGUUUUGUAAACUAAAAACAAUGCAUACAAUGUCUUCUAAAGCCUGCUGACAUCAAGCUGUUACAUAGGCCACAAUGUCACAGCAUAUAUGUUUUGUAUGCAUUUGGUCUAUGAAAAAACUUUAUGGCAAACCAUACAGCAUGUAUAACGUCUUCUGAGGCCUGAUGUAAUCGUUGUUGUGAAUCACUCUGUAUGAGGCUGUGUUGUGUAGGGAGAUG
Molecule: long non-coding RNA, 1308 nt
Organism: Oncorhynchus nerka (sockeye salmon)
Lineage: Eukaryota; Metazoa; Chordata; Actinopteri; Salmoniformes; Salmonidae
Exons: 3
Source: RefSeq, a predicted model, not a curated record